This 371-nucleotide ribosomal RNA is filed under the name uncultured organism. Its description in RNAcentral is "bacterial SSU rRNA". It matches the Rfam family "Bacterial small subunit ribosomal RNA", at positions 526 to 896 of the family's 1533-position model. The record is from RNAcentral.
CAGAGGGUGCGAGCGUUAAUCGGAAUUACUGGGCGUAAAGGGCGCGUAGGCGGUUAGUUAAGUUAGAUGUGAAAUCCCUGGGCUUAACCUAGGAACUGCAUCUGAUACUGGCUAGCUAGAGUGUAGUAGAGGGUAGUGGAAUUUCCGGUGUAGCGGUGAAAUGCGUAGAUAUCGGAAGGAACACCAGUGGCGAAGGCGGCUACCUGGACUAACACUGACGCUGAGGCGCGAAAGCGUGGGGAUCAAACAGGAUUAGAUACCCUGGUAGUCCACGCUGUAAACGAUGAGAACUAGAUGUUGGUAGGCUUGACCUAUUAGUAUCGAAGCUAACGCGAUAAGUUCUCCGCCUGGGGAGUACGACCGCAAGGUUA